GAAGUGGACAUUUAUGUAGCGAACACAAACAAGCGGAGUGAUGCGCACAAUGAAAUGUCCCAGUGCAUUUAACUAACUAUAAGCACUUUUGGAACGCUGUUUGACCAAUCAAAUUGAUGGACCGAAACUAACUGUUGUAUAAUUAUGUGUAUAUGGAUAUCACAGUGAAGCGUACCGUAUAAUAGUUUUUGUGACAUGUUACACUUGAUGAUGUGGCUACAAGAUCACACUUCAGUGACUUCAUAUAUGCAGAAACAACUGAAAACCUCCAGCAAGCUCAGUGGUUGGUGACACAGUUCACACUGCAAUAUAGCUUAUAACUAAAGAAUUAAUUCAAGUUUUUCUUAAAUCGAACUCAACAUCUACUUCACUUCAUAGCUGAAACUGGGUGAACAAAAAUCUUUGCAUUUUGAAUUUGAGCCUCAUAUCCAUCUUUAAUCCAGUACGGUUGAGUAUUCCACAAUUUCACAGAUCCAGGACAUGUAGACUACACCAGGUGUACACCAUCAAAUAAUAUGGAAGGAUAAUCCAGAAAGUGUUGCAAAAGUGUUGAGUCUAUAGAUUUGAAAAUGUACAGCAGAAAACGUCUUUGAACUUAAGUGUGAAUUGACAGAUGUUAAAAAAAAAAAAAAAAAGAAGAAGAUGAAAAAAGAUGUAGCUUAAUAUUAACACAUUUUAUUUACUGAACGAGUCCUGCCGGGGCCAUGUGUGUGUGGAGUUUGCAUGUUCUCCCCGUGCUGUGGGGGUUUCCUCUGGGUACUCCGGUUUCCUCCCCCAGUCCAAAGACAUGUAUGGUAGGCUGAUUGGCGUGUCUAAAGUGUCCGUAGUGUAUGAAUGGGUGUGUGAGCGUGUAUGUGAUUGUGCCCUGCGAUGGACUGGCACCCUGUCCAGGGUGUACCCCGCCUUGUGCCCGAUGCUUCCUGGGAUAGGCUCCAGGUUCCCCGUGACCCUGAAAAGGAGUAAGCAGUAGAAGAUGGAUGGAUGAAUGGAUUUACCAAAUGAAUGUAUUUCUGUUAAAGCAUGCUCUGAGCGAGAGCAUACUGUAUAUUGUAACUUAAAUGAUAAUGUGUGCAGAAUUGAAAGCUUGUUGGCUUGAAGAUGUGAACAGAGUAACCAGAUACAGCGUAUCACUUGACAGGGUGACAAUCUUAAAUCACUAGUUCCGAACCCAGUUAAUAAGGACGUUCCUUGUAAAUAGUAGAUUUUAGGGAAUUAAACAGGGUAUCGUUGCUAAGUACAGUGUGCAGAUCGUUGUGUUCGUUUUGCGUGCCAAAGCAAACUUUGCAUGUGACACUUACAAAGCCCAGACACUAAAAGUUCAAUUGAAUCUCCAGUCAGAAAUUUGGUGAUGAAUAAUGAAUGUUAUAAUAUUGUUUGAGUUCUUAAAUGUGAUUAAUUAAUGUUGAGUUGGACUGUUAUGUUGAUAUCGUACAUUCGAUAAUACUUUAGUACUUUCAUUUUUUUUUCACUUUCCACCAAUGCAUGGUAUUCAUAUGUUUAGCAAUGCAGAAACUGCACAGUACUUUUCUUCUGCAAGCACAAACUUUUUUCAGUAACACUGUCUACACCUAUGAUGAUCUGUACAUGCAUUCAUAACAUUAUAUAUAGUCUGCUCUGAAACUAUUGAACAGAAAGGCCAAUUCAAUUGUUUGUGCUAUACACCAAAGACUUUUGGGUUUGAGAUCAGAAGAUGGAUAUGAGAUGAGAGUAUUUACAUCUAGAUGUGUUAAACAACAUGAAAACAUAGAACAGUUUGUAUCAGACCACGGGACUUUUUGGCGAGCAAAACUAUAGGAACAGAUAAGUCUUGAAGUAAAUUAAAGUUAAUAACACUUAAUAUUUGGUUGCAUAUCCCUUGCUUUCAUUAACUGCAUCAAGCCUGUGACUCAGUGAUAUCACCGAAUUGUUGGUUUCUUCUUUCGUGAUGCUUUUCCAGGCUUUUACUGCAACCUCUUUCAGUUGUCGCUUGUUUUGUGGGUUUUCUCCCUUCAGGUGAAAUACAUCCUCAGUUGGGUUAAGAUCUGGUAAUUGAUUUAGCCAGUCUAAAACCUUCAACUUACUUUUCCCCCUUGAUGACCUUUGUUGAGUUGUACUGGCUAUGCUCAGAGUUUACUCAGUGGCUCUGACUGAUUUUCCCGCUUUUCUUGGCUUCAAAAUGGCUUGCUUUUCUCCCACAGACAGCUCUUUGAUCUUCAUGUUGGUUUAUCCUUUUUUAAACAACAAAUGCAGUCUUCACAGGUGAAAAUGCAGCCUUAAACCAAAAGUAGAUGUUCGGAGCUAUUUAUUGUUUAAACAAUCAAUCUAACAUGACACACCUGAGCAACAAAAAACACCUAUCAGUCACAUGUUCCAAUAUUUGUGCUCACCUACACACUGGGUAGUCUGAUACAAAAUGUACUACGUUUUAUGUUGUUUAACACAUCUACAUACAAAUACCAGGAAAUAUAAGCUGGAAUUCUAAACGCUU
Molecule: long non-coding RNA, 2467 nt
Organism: Ictalurus punctatus (channel catfish)
Lineage: Eukaryota; Metazoa; Chordata; Actinopteri; Siluriformes; Ictaluridae
Source: Ensembl